GAUGAACGCUGGCGGCGUGCCUAAUACAUGCAAGUCGAGCGAACGGACGAGAAGCUUGCUUUUCUGAUGUUAGCGGCGGACGGGUGAGUAACACGUGGAUAACCUACCUAUAAGACUGGGAUAACUUCGGGAAACCGGAGCUAAUACCGGAUAAUAUUUUGAACCGCAUGGUUCAAAAGUGAAGGACGGUCUUGCUGUCACUUAUAGAUGGAUCCGCGCUGCAUUAGCUAGUUGGUAAGGUAACGGCUUACCAAGGCAACGAUGCAUAGCCGACCUGAGAGGGUGAUCGGCCACACUGGAACUGAGACACGGUCCAGACUCCUACGGGAGGCAGCAGUAGGGAAUCUUCCGCAAAGGGCGAAAGCCUGACGGAGCAACGCCGCGUGAGUGAUGAAGGUCUUCGGAUCGUAAAACUCUGUUAUUAGGGAAGAACAUAUGUGUAAGUAACUGUGCACAUCUUGACGGUACCUAAUCAGAAAGCCACGGCUAACUACGUG
Molecule: ribosomal RNA, 497 nt
Filed under: uncultured bacterium
Lineage: Bacteria
Description: partial 16S ribosomal RNA
Rfam family: Bacterial small subunit ribosomal RNA
Source: RNAcentral